Molecule: long non-coding RNA, 605 nt
Filed under: Glycine max (soybean)
Lineage: Eukaryota; Viridiplantae; Streptophyta; Magnoliopsida; Fabales; Fabaceae
Description: long non-coding RNA (GMAX_LNC002610)
Source: RNAcentral
UCAUAUGAGGCUACAAGGGCAUGUGCCCCUACCCCCUAUGCAUAUUAUUGACCUGAAAGAGAACUGUUUUUCUGUCUUCCGGAUAUUUUAUACCCCCGAUGAAGGUAAGGUAGAGACAUCAUUGUGUUCUGUUUAAGUGGUGCCCUUUUUGUCCCACCCUAAGAUUUCAGUUCCAUCACAUGGUAGGUUCAAAGUUGAAAUGCACAGCACAUUUUGCUUUUGUAAGGAAUUGGAAGAGGGCAUUAAAAUGGAGCUAAUGGCAUUAUGUUUGAAAUUUGAAUAGUGAUCCCUCCUGCCUGAAACUUGUUGAAAUGUGAAGAGCAGGUCCAAUACGGGUGGGUGAGGACUAGACUAGAUUUGUAUUAAGUAUGUGAAGUGUACUGUUCAAAAGAUUUGAACUAAUUGGACUCAAUCCUUACAAACUGGGGAUUGAGUUCGUUGGAGUCGGAUUUGUAUGGGUGAGUUAGACUCAAAAACUAAGAAAAUCAUUUGUUAAUUAAACACCAUCGAGUUACACCUUUUUUAUACUCUGAUAAUAUUUUUGGUGUACAAUAAUUGUAUUGAGGUUAGAACUUAUCAUCUCAUACAUACUACCUAAAUCUCUC